UUUGUACUCCCUUCGUCCAACAAAAGAUGUCUCAAGUUUUUCAAAAAUUGGAUGUAUCUACACAUGACUUAGUGUAUAGAUACAUUCAAAUUUGGUCAAAUUUGAGAUAUUUUUUGUUGGACGGAGGGAGUAGUAU
This is a non-coding RNA of Brachypodium distachyon (stiff brome), 136 nucleotides long. The record is from Rfam. Lineage: Eukaryota; Viridiplantae; Streptophyta; Magnoliopsida; Poales; Poaceae.